RNAcentral lists this ribosomal RNA (492 nucleotides) under uncultured bacterium. RNAcentral describes it as "partial 16S ribosomal RNA". It matches the Rfam family "Bacterial small subunit ribosomal RNA", at positions 29 to 507 of the family's 1533-position model. The record is from RNAcentral.
AGUGAACGCUGGCGGUAGGCCUAACACAUGCAAGUCGAACGGCAGCACAGUAAGAGCUUGCUCUUACGGGUGGCGAGUGGCGGACGGGUGAGGAAUACAUCGGAAUCUACUUUUUCGUGGGGGAUAACGUAGGGAAACUUACGCUAAUACCGCAUACGACCUACGGGUGAAAGCAGGGGAUAUUCGGACCUUGCGCGAUUGAAUGAGCCGAUGUCGGAUUAGCUAGUUGGCGGGGUAAAGGCCCACCAAGGCGACGAUCCGUAGCUGGUCUGAGAGGAUGAUCAGCCACACUGGAACUGAGACACGGUCCAGACUCCUACGGGAGGCAGCAGUGGGGAAUAUUGGACAAUGGGCGCAAGCCUGAUCCAGCCAUACCGCGUGGGUGAAGAAGGCCUUCGGGUUGUAAAGCCCUUUUGUUGGGAAAGAAAAGCAGCAGAUUAAUACCCCGAUGUUCUGACGGUACCCAAAGAAUAAGCACCGGCUAACUUCGUG